GUCCUUACUCGUUUCGGGGUCCGAACACGGCUUCACAGUGCGCCUACGGGCUGUCCCUAAUUUUCCCUGAAUUUUUUCCGGGGAACUGAAACGCACUACUGGUACCUGCACGUGUUUCAAAAAAUCCCAAAUUAGGCCCCGGGCCCCUUUCGGCCAAUAUCGCAAUUCCGGCACGGCGGCUCCACCGUGCUCCGGCGACGGCGCCGC
This 207-nucleotide long non-coding RNA is filed under the name Carica papaya (papaya). Its description in RNAcentral is "long non-coding RNA (CPAP_LNC007694)". Lineage: Eukaryota; Viridiplantae; Streptophyta; Magnoliopsida; Brassicales; Caricaceae. The record is from RNAcentral.